This 2921-nucleotide ribosomal RNA is filed under the name Staphylococcus aureus. RNAcentral describes it as "bacterial LSU rRNA". It matches the Rfam family "Bacterial large subunit ribosomal RNA". The record is from RNAcentral. Lineage: Bacteria; Bacillati; Bacillota; Bacilli; Caryophanales; Staphylococcaceae.
UUAAGUUAUUAAGGGCGCACGGUGGAUGCCUUGGCACUAGAAGCCGAUGAAGGACGUUACUAACGACGAUAUGCUUUGGGGAGCUGUAAGUAAGCUUUGAUCCAGAGAUUUCCGAAUGGGGAAACCCAGCAUGAGUUAUGUCAUGUUAUCGAUAUGUGAAUACAUAGCAUAUCAGAAGGCACACCCGGAGAACUGAAACAUCUUAGUACCCGGAGGAAGAGAAAGAAAAUUCGAUUCCCUUAGUAGCGGCGAGCGAAACGGGAAGAGCCCAAACCAACAAGCUUGCUUGUUGGGGUUGUAGGACACUCUAUACGGAGUUACAAAGGACGACAUUAGACGAAUCAUCUGGAAAGAUGAAUCAAAGAAGGUAAUAAUCCUGUAGUCGAAAAUGUUGUCUCUCUUGAGUGGAUCCUGAGUACGACGGAGCACGUGAAAUUCCGUCGGAAUCUGGGAGGACCAUCUCCUAAGGCUAAAUACUCUCUAGUGACCGAUAGUGAACCAGUACCGUGAGGGAAAGGUGAAAAGCACCCCGGAAGGGGAGUGAAAUAGAACCUGAAACCGUGUGCUUACAAGUAGUCAGAGCCCGUUAAUGGGUGAUGGCGUGCCUUUUGUAGAAUGAACCGGCGAGUUACGAUUUGAUGCAAGGUUAAGCAGUAAAUGUGGAGCCGUAGCGAAAGCGAGUCUGAAUAGGGCGUUUAGUAUUUGGUCGUAGACCCGAAACCAGGUGAUCUACCCUUGGUCAGGUUGAAGUUCAGGUAACACUGAAUGGAGGACCGAACCGACUUACGUUGAAAAGUGAGCGGAUGAACUGAGGGUAGCGGAGAAAUUCCAAUCGAACCUGGAGAUAGCUGGUUCUCUCCGAAAUAGCUUUAGGGCUAGCCUCAAGUGAUGAUUAUUGGAGGUAGAGCACUGUUUGGACGAGGGGCCCCUCUCGGGUUACCGAAUUCAGACAAACUCCGAAUGCCAAUUAAUUUAACUUGGGAGUCAGAACAUGGGUGAUAAGGUCCGUGUUCGAAAGGGAAACAGCCCAGACCACCAGCUAAGGUCCCAAAAUAUAUGUUAAGUGGAAAAGGAUGUGGCGUUGCCCAGACAACUAGGAUGUUGGCUUAGAAGCAGCCAUCAUUUAAAGAGUGCGUAAUAGCUCACUAGUCGAGUGACACUGCGCCGAAAAUGUACCGGGGCUAAACAUAUUACCGAAGCUGUGGAUUGUCCUUUGGACAAUGGUAGGAGAGCGUUCUAAGGGCGUUGAAGCAUGAUCGUAAGGACAUGUGGAGCGCUUAGAAGUGAGAAUGCCGGUGUGAGUAGCGAAAGACGGGUGAGAAUCCCGUCCACCGAUUGACUAAGGUUUCCAGAGGAAGGCUCGUCCGCUCUGGGUUAGUCGGGUCCUAAGCUGAGGCCGACAGGCGUAGGCGAUGGAUAACAGGUUGAUAUUCCUGUACCACCUAUAAUCGUUUUAAUCGAUGGGGGGACGCAGUAGGAUAGGCGAAGCGUGCGAUUGGAUUGCACGUCUAAGCAGUAAGGCUGAGUAUUAGGCAAAUCCGGUACUCGUUAAGGCUGAGCUGUGAUGGGGAGAAGACAUUGUGUCUUCGAGUCGUUGAUUUCACACUGCCGAGAAAAGCCUCUAGAUAGAAAAUAGGUGCCCGUACCGCAAACCGACACAGGUAGUCAAGAUGAGAAUUCUAAGGUGAGCGAGCGAACUCUCGUUAAGGAACUCGGCAAAAUGACCCCGUAACUUCGGGAGAAGGGGUGCUCUUUAGGGUUAACGCCCAGAAGAGCCGCAGUGAAUAGGCCCAAGCGACUGUUUAUCAAAAACACAGGUCUCUGCUAAACCGUAAGGUGAUGUAUAGGGGCUGACGCCUGCCCGGUGCUGGAAGGUUAAGAGGAGUGGUUAGCUUCUGCGAAGCUACGAAUCGAAGCCCCAGUAAACGGCGGCCGUAACUAUAACGGUCCUAAGGUAGCGAAAUUCCUUGUCGGGUAAGUUCCGACCCGCACGAAAGGCGUAACGAUUUGGGCACUGUCUCAACGAGAGACUCGGUGAAAUCAUAGUACCUGUGAAGAUGCAGGUUACCCGCGACAGGACGGAAAGACCCCGUGGAGCUUUACUGUAGCCUGAUAUUGAAAUUCGGCACAGCUUGUACAGGAUAGGUAGGAGCCUUUGAAACGUGAGCGCUAGCUUACGUGGAGGCGCUGGUGGGAUACUACCCUAGCUGUGUUGGCUUUCUAACCCGCACCACUUAUCGUGGUGGGAGACAGUGUCAGGCGGGCAGUUUGACUGGGGCGGUCGCCUCCUAAAAGGUAACGGAGGCGCUCAAAGGUUCCCUCAGAAUGGUUGGAAAUCAUUCAUAGAGUGUAAAGGCAUAAGGGAGCUUGACUGCGAGACCUACAAGUCGAGCAGGGUCGAAAGACGGACUUAGUGAUCCGGUGGUUCCGCAUGGAAGGGCCAUCGCUCAACGGAUAAAAGCUACCCCGGGGAUAACAGGCUUAUCUCCCUCAAGAGUUCACAUCGACGGGGAGGUUUGGCACCUCGAUGUCGGCUCAUCGCAUCCUGGGGCUGUAGUCGGUCCCAAGGGUUGGGCUGUUCGCCCAUUAAAGCGGUACGCGAGCUGGGUUCAGAACGUCGUGAGACAGUUCGGUCCCUAUCCGUCGUGGGCGUAGGAAAUUUGAGAGGAGCUGUCCUUAGUACGAGAGGACCGGGAUGGACAUACCUCUGGUGUACCAGUUGUCGUGCCAACGGCAUAGCUGGGUAGCUAUGUGUGGACGGGAUAAGUGCUGAAAGCAUCUAAGCAUGAAGCCCCCCUCAAGAUGAGAUUUCCCAACUUCGGUUAUAAGAUCCCUCAAAGAUGAUGAGGUUAAUAGGUUCGAGGUGGAAGCAUGGUGACAUGUGGAGCUGACGAAUACUAAUCGAUCGAAGACUUAAUCAA